UCCUGACUGCCACAAAUUUCAAAAUAAGGGCAACUUGCACUACCAUAAGUUUCAAAAUACACAUUCUCACUACCAUAACUUACACAUUGUCACUACCAUAACAAUAUUUUUGCUGUACAUCCUUUGGUCAAUAAUUAUGAAAUAAUAGGUUCUAGUGCUUAAAAAUUAUGAAAUUGUUUCUGAAACUACCUAACUCAAGUGAAAACAUUUUUGAAGAAACCCCAUUGCCAAAUUCAAAGCCAUUACUUUUAUAAAAUUUCAUCACUGAAACUGUUUUAAUCAAAACAAAAUUUCUACUGUGGUUGAAUUAAAAAAUUAUUUUAGACAUGUUCCCAAGACUUUUCCUAAACGAACAUUUUUGUAACAAAUCCUAACAUACUAAAUAUUACUAGAAAAUUUAAUUUCCUUAAAAACUCAAGUUUAUCACGCGGUUAGAAAUUAUAUACCAAAGUUUCCAAAACUAUUUUUCCCAGAAUCAACUGCUUUACAGGUCUUUAGUUCAACAAUUUUUAGAGUACACAAAUGUAAUAGAAAAUUACAAUAAUUUUUUUGUGAUGGUAACUAGCAUGUCCAAAAACACUAGAAAAAUUAAUUUGCUCAAAACUUCCAAACCAUUAAUUUUUAAAAGUUUGUGCAUUGAAGCUUUUUUACUUGGAUAAUUUCCAGAAUUACUUUUCGCACAUUCUAACAUUCAUGCAUGCAAAAUCUAUAAUUUAAUCAUAAAAAAUUUUCAAGAAAAAUGGGCAUGCAUAUGAUCAACCCAUUUCUAGAUCUACUGACCAAAAAUCAAGGUUUUCACCUUUUUAUUCUUCAACCUUUCAUUGAAAUGGUUUUUACUUUAAUAACACCAAUUUUUUUUCAUUAAUCAAACUUAAGAACUCAUAACUUAACAUUCAAACUCAAAAUCAAAUUUUUAUGAUGAUCAAGUGUUGUUUUCUUGAAAUUACACUCAUAAGGUUUAUGAUCAAGUUUGAAAAAUCAACAUGCAAAUAUUAACUCAAAUAUGCAAAGCUUAUAAAAAAUUAAAUGAAACUUUAAUGCUCAAAACCAUUUUUUAUCAUGAAAAUAAGGAGAAAAAUUGAAACUUUCCUUACUCUCAACAAAUAUGUGGUUCGGCCUUCUACAAAAAUGAGGAGAAGCAAAUUUGUAUUUGUGAAACUAACUAGCUUACUAGAGAGAAGAGAUCAAGAGGAUGAUUUUUGAUUUUGGGAGUUUUGUGUUUUAAGUUAUUGAUCUAGGACAUGCAAGAGGAAGAAG
This 1257-nucleotide long non-coding RNA is filed under the name Cicer arietinum (chickpea). Its description in RNAcentral is "long non-coding RNA (CARI_LNC002959)". The record is from RNAcentral. Lineage: Eukaryota; Viridiplantae; Streptophyta; Magnoliopsida; Fabales; Fabaceae.